UCCCCGCUAAGCGCGAGGCAGUUUCGCCUGAGUGAUACAACAGACGAUGGGGGUUGCGCUCGUUGAGGCACUUAAGCCUACAUCUCACGACACGAGCUGACGACAACCAUGCAGCACCUGUACAAGCUGCCUUGCGGCUCAUCCCGGUUUCCCGGUUUUACUACUUGUAUGUCAAACCCUGGUGAGGUUUUUCGUUUCGUCUCGAAUUAAACCACACGUUCCCCUACUUGUGCGGGUCCCCGUCAAUUCCUUUGAGUUUUAGCCUUGCGGCCGUACUCCCCAGGCGGGAUGCUUAAUGCGUUAGCUUGCGACACUACAAUAGCUAAGACUGUAAUAUCUAGCAUCCAUCGUUUACGGCGUGGACUA
This 366-nucleotide unclassified non-coding RNA is filed under the name uncultured bacterium. Its description in RNAcentral is "contains 16S-23S intergenic spacer region". The record is from RNAcentral.